UGUAUAUGUUUAUAGGUAGAUAUAUGUAUAUAGAUUCAUACUUAUUCUGCUUCUGGAGAUAACAGAUCUAGAUUUCUCUGUAAGGCUUUUUUUUUUUGGAAGAUCUAAGAGUUUCCCAUAAGUUUUAAAGGUUUGCUUUUAAUAGUUCCAGGGAUUAUUGACUUGUAUCUGUGAGCCCAGGAAAUACCUGGUGAAGGAAGCUGCACAUACUAGGGCGUAUGCUGGUAACACACACACACACACACACACACGGUGUUUGCUCACAUAGAGGUGUAAGUCAUGUUUGUCAUGGUAGGUUAGUUUUACUCACUAACCAUUAUGACAACUGACUCAACAUGCCGUGGACAACCUUAGCUCUAGUUUAACUGAACACACGUGAAAUUAUAGUACAAACAUGUGAUUAGGAACACUGCGAAGGGUAUAUUUUCUUUCAUACAAAGAAUAUUUGCAUAUAUGUUUUGUUUAUAAAUACAAUAUUUUUCUAUAUCAGUGAAAAUACACACACACACACACACACACACACGUAAACAUAUAAAUAUAUCACACUGAAAAAACAUUAUUGCAACAAAAAGUACCCAAACGCCCCACAGCCAACUGCACCCCAGGAGCCCUGGGAAGAGCACUGCCUCGUGAAGCUGAGGCCCCGGCAUGCAGAGUGCUGGAGCCAAGAUAACGCCGCCUGUGCUGCAAAUCACCCCUCAGGACGUGCACAAUGACCAGGACCUGCAAAGUGUAACUGAAGAGUGGGCUACGCACCCCGGUUCUGAAGUAGGCGGUGGGAUCAGAGUCAUUGUGCAUCAAAGAUACCAAAUCCCACAUAUUCCUGAUGUAUAGAUUCAUGACAUAACAGUUUACACUUGUCAUAAUUUGGAAUUGAAAUGGCCUGGCCUUCAGGCGCACACAGCCACACCGUGUGGCAGACGCGAGCUCCGCUUUGAGGCUGUCAGACCCAGGCAGCAGCCCUGCUCCCUGCUCAAUGGGGAGCUCGACGCAGCAGCCACACAGCACCCCCUUGGGCGCCAGCCUUCAUCUUUGUAAAAUGAAUAAAGUGAAAGUGCCCAUCUCACGUAGUCAUUCUGAAGAUUAAAUGAUGUACGAUAUUUAAUGAACCUGUCAUAGUGACCUUCAGAAUUAAAUGCUCAAGAAAAUAUUGGAAAGUAUACUUGGAAAUAUGAUUCACAAUUGUAACUAAAAGAAAAAGUGAGAUCAUCUGUCAAUGAUUUAAGUAGCAUAGAUUUCCAUCAUAUGAUGGAGUCAACAACUAUGAACAGUAUAAGAAAACUUCUAGGUGGCUCACACCUGUAAUCCCAGCACUUUGGGAGGCCAAGGUGGGCGGAUCAUGAGGUCAGGAGAUGGAGACCAUCCUGGCUAACACAGUGAAACCCCGUCUCUACUCAAAAUACAAAAAAUUAGCCGAGUGUGGUGACAGGUGCCUGUAGUCCCAGCUACUCGGGAGGCUGAGGCAGGAGAAUGGCAUGAAUCCGGGAGGUGGAGCUUGCAGUGAGCCCAGUUCGUGCCACAGCACUCUAGCCUGGGCGACAGAGUGAGACUCUGGCUCAAAAGAAAAAAGAAAACUUCUAUAAAAGUCAGGUUCGACAAAUAUCUAUGACUUUCCUUAGGCAGAUGAGCAUCACACAUUAAUAUACUGGAAAAGUUGUCUAUAUUUCAACUCAUAUUAAAGUACCAGCUAUUUAUA
This is a long non-coding RNA of Symphalangus syndactylus (siamang), 1696 nucleotides long. RefSeq lists it as uncharacterized. NCBI's taxonomy places the organism in Eukaryota, Metazoa, Chordata, Mammalia, Primates, Hylobatidae. The record is from RefSeq and is a predicted model, not a curated record.